GAAAUCAACAAAAUUAAACAGAACAUAUUUGUUUGUUCAGAUCACAUCCUUAGAAGUGAUUUCUUAUAUAAGGAAGAUAAUAUUAUCAGUAGCCAGACUUAGACCAAACAGAUUAAAAAAAUCAGCUCUACCUCAAAGGAUUUCUGAUGCACUGGUUAAAAACACAGCAGCUGAUAAUUCAGUUAAUUUACCAAGUGAUUUACCCUUCAAACCUGCAGGAAAAGCUUUCCUGAAGAGUGCAAAAACUUUUUUAGCUUCCAAAAUGGUAUAUAGUACAAACAGUGAAGCUGAUAUAGACAAGUAUGGAUAAUUAAAAUAGAUUAAUAUUCUAGAUACACCAAAUUUUGUAUAAUUAUAGAUCUGAUCAUUCAUCAUCAACAAUAACUGCAUCUGAGAUUAAUAGUUCUACAGUAACCGUAGGGUCUAGGUCAACAAUUACUAUUUCUCAUCCAAGCCGUUUUUGUUUAACUGCUACAUAUUCCCUGACUCUGCCAAGGAAAAGGGUAAAAUCAAAAUGAUAUCCUGAGGACCUAAGCACUGAUGAUUCCACCGUUUCAAAAGCUAAAUCACUUGUUACCAAAUUAUGGAAAAAAAAUAAAGAGCAAAAAAUUAAAAUUCGAAGAUUGCAAUAAACAAAUUUGCCCCAAAGAAAUUGAAUUAGAUGUCUCAAGUCAUUAUUAAAAUACUUAAGAAAUAAUAACAUGAUUUUUGAAAAAGCCCAACAUACUACAUAUUUUAUUUGACUUGUAAAAGUACUUGUUUGUAUAUUUUUACUAAUAAACUAUUUAAUCUAAUCUAUUGUACAUAGUCUUUAUUCUUAGGUAAGUUUUGUUUUUUAGUAUAAAUUAAUAUGAUAUAAUAUUUGGUAUUAGGUAUUAUAUAGGUCACUGUUAAAUGUCUCAAAACCAUUGUACAGGCUAAAUACUCAUAAUAAAAAUCUUAUAACCUAUAAAAAACCUGCAACUCCUUCACAAUUUAAACCUCCUUGUAGUUUUAACUCUUUCCGCUGAAUCAAUACUGUCCCUUUGAAAAAGUCAGCACCAUAGAAGUAUAUAUUAUGUGAUAUAAAGUAAGUGAUGUAAACCUGAGUUUUG
Molecule: long non-coding RNA, 1094 nt
Organism: Anthonomus grandis grandis
Lineage: Eukaryota; Metazoa; Arthropoda; Insecta; Coleoptera; Curculionidae
Exons: 3
Source: RefSeq, a predicted model, not a curated record